This 969-nucleotide long non-coding RNA is filed under the name Homo sapiens (human). RNAcentral describes it as "HSALNT0305225". The record is from RNAcentral. Lineage: Eukaryota; Metazoa; Chordata; Mammalia; Primates; Hominidae.
CAGCGCCCAUUCCGCGUACAUCGAGUAUCCAAAAUGAGUAAAAUCGGUUUAUACGUUGGAAUGUAGCUUAUGAUUCCAAAAUCUCAUCUCCAGGCUGCCUAGAUCACACGGCCCCGUUUCAUUCAUUUUUACUUAAUAACGGUCGUUGGACAAUUUAGAGAAGCAGCAGAAACCACGAGAAAAACAGUGGAGUCAAACGGCGCUGCAGGCGCUGUUGUAGGAGCAAGGGAUACAAUGAUGAUCAAGGCAGAUGCAGCCCUUACCUUCAGGUCGUGGAGUCCGGAUACAGACUGGAGGCAGGCAGCUGUAAGAUGUGUGACAAAUGCUGCGCUGGAUCAGCCCAUGGUAUUAGGAGAGCAGCUGAGUGCCACGUGCUGACGUCACUAAGAUCAAUACAGCAAACUCUGAAAGAUGGACAGAGAGACAGGAGAUGGUCCUUUAUAAUGCAGUGUGAUCUGUGCUGCAAUAGAGUUUUGGAAGCUAGAAGUUCAAAACGAGGUGUUGGCAGCACCAUGCUCUCUCUGAAGAUGCUAGGAAGAAUCUGCUCCAUGCCUUUCCAUUCGCUCCUGGGGUUUCCUGCAAGCCCUGACAUUCCUUGGCUUGUAGAUACACCACCCCAGUUUCCGCCCCCAUCAUCACAUGGCCUCCUCUCUGUGGGUGCCUCUGCGUUCCCUCUAUUCUUCUUCUAAGGACACCGACACCAGUCAUAGUGGAUUAAGGGUCCACUCCUAACUAAUUACAUCUGCAACCACCCUAUUUCCAAAUAAAGUCACAUUCUAAGAUUCCUAGGGAGAACAUGAAGUUUUGGGGGUGUGUGGAUACUGUUCAACCUGGGACAUGGAGUAAAUAAAUGGCAAGAAAGAUUACAGAUGACUUUAAGCUAAAGAGGGAGAUAGGGUUAAAUGUAGGACUUUUUUUUUUUUCCAGGACGGGAGAGGUUUAAACAUGUUACUACAUUGAAUAAAUGAA